Non-coding RNA from Cinara cedri, 2559 nucleotides. The record is from the annotation of a GenBank genome assembly. NCBI's taxonomy places the organism in Eukaryota, Metazoa, Arthropoda, Insecta, Hemiptera, Aphididae.
CGACGAUUGUAAGUGAUAAUAAUAUAGUUUAAUAUAAUAAUAAUAAUAAAUAUGAUAAUAAAAACCACGUUGUUAAAGAUUUAAAUAUAUUAAUAAUAGUUUGAUAAAAGAAUAAUAUAAAUAUUGCAAUAUAAACUAAUAUGUAUAUGUUAUUUUGUACAAGAGAGAAUUUUUUUUUACAAAACGAAGUACGAGGUUUAAUCAAAAAGUAUUGAGACUGAUAGUAGUACACAUAAACCGAGCAUUUAAGAACAGCACAAUUGGUAUCAUUAGUUUAUAUUCUAUUCUAAAUACAUCUAUUUUUGUAAAUUCUCUAAAAACUUUUUCGUUUUGAUUUCACCGAUAUUUUUGUGAAAUAUGUUUUUCAUAUUUGGCGAUUUUGUAAUGAAUCCAAAAGAAGAGCAAACUUGAUGUGUUUUUGGGUAUUUGAGAGAAUUUGUCUAAAUUAAUAUUAUUUUUUUGUAUUUCAGAGGAAUAAAAAAUGACUUAUGCUAACAAAUUGCAGCUUUACCUAGUGGUAGUAAACCUGAACUGGGAUUUAUUUUUGAUCUUCGAUCAACAUUCUCGUGGCAAAUUUUGAUGCGAUUUCUCGCAUGUGUAAUUUUUUAGUUAAAUUUUGUGACAUGAGUCAUGUGAAAUGUGCAUUUUUCUGAAAUUUAAAAAAAAAUGCUGAAAAAUUUCUCUUGAACCCCCCCCCCCCAAAGGCCUGUUAAUAUGCUCUUCUAUUGGAUUCAUUAUAAAAUUGCCAAACACAAAAACAUAUUUUACAAAAAUAUCGGCGAAAUCAAAACGAAGAACUUUAUAGUAAAUCUACAAAAACAGAUGUAUUUAGAAGUCAAGAAUGAUACCAAUCUUGCUGCAAUUCAAUGCUCAAUUUAUGAGUAAUAUUAUCAGUCUCGACGUUUUUUGAUUAGCCCUCGUAUAAUAUAAUUUAAACUUCGCGUUAAUUACACACACACACACAUAUUUGUUCACAAUAUUUGUUAUUAUAAUAUGCUACCGUGAAUUUAUUUGAAAACCAGUCAAUUAUUGUUGACAUUUAACGAGUCAAUUUUCGAAAGUCGGAAAUUUUAGUGAUUUUUUGUAAAUAAUUUAAACAUUCGUUGGUGAUUGUUGACUUGACAUUAGGGAAACUUUAAUUAAUAUCUAAUAUUUGUCCAUUCCCCAUCCCUUUAAAAACUCAAAGAGAAAAUAGACAAUACCUAUCUCUUAACUUUUGGACUUUCCCCAUUGAGAUUAUUUCUAAUAAAAUAAAAUAUUGUGUUAAAAAAUCUAUUAAUUAAAUGAUCUAUAUAUACUAUUUACUUUUUAGUGGACAUGCAGUAAGCAAAAUCUUACUCUACUGAGUGUCCAAUGGAUUUUACUAGGUAUCCAUUCGGAUACAGAAAACUUCCUUAAUGAAUGCCCUGCUUAACAUAAUAAUAAUAUAUAUAUAUAAAUAUGAAUAAAAAAUGAUUGGUGAAAGUGAAAAAAAAAACAACCUACCUAUAUUAAAUAAAUUUAAGUAUAUAAGUAUUAGUUUAUUUUAUUAGUGUAUUAUAACAAUACGACUAAAGACAAAAAGAAAUUGUAUUUAUUAGGAAUAUUAUAUAAAAUUUAUUUGGCUGUACGCUAAGGAAGUUUUUUUGUUUAAUAUGGUAUUUUUUGUUAAACUUUAUUGAAUAAUACUUAGAACCUUACGUUUAUAUAAAAUUACGUACCUACUUAAAUUAGUAUGGGCUGUAAAGUCAUGUCACACGAGAAAAAUUAUCAUCAAAUAAACACAUUUUGUGAGUAGUGAUGAUAAUAAAAUAAGUUGUUGUCAUUUGCAUAGGCGUCAAAUUGAAACGUAUUUAAUAAUUAAUUUUUAUCGCCCGUAUUUUAUGUCUAUAUAAAAUGUAUAUUAAUGUGUUAAUAAUCCCGUUAAAAAAACUAAAAUGCAAAAUAGCGAAAACAAAAACUAGAAGACAACAAUUACUAGAAAUAAAAGAAAACCUAAGAAAAUACUAUUUUAUUUAGUCUAGUAGCUAGCAAUGUCUUAGUUUUUAAGUAAAAGUCAGUGGUAAUCUGUUAUUUUUUACGAAAAAAUUAUAAAACAACACAAAAUUCUUUGUAGUGAAAUAUUACAUAUUGAUGAACAAUAUCACAUCAUAAUAUUUUGUACUUCGGGGAAUAGCCUUAUGUUAUUUUCUUACUUAUUUUUACCAAAAUUUUAUCUGUGUGAGUGAUUUUUGAAUUUUCUUAUGGCUCAUUUUAAAAAAAUAAACCAGCUAAAGAAAUCGGUUGGACGAUGAAAUGCGUGUAUAAUAAUAGCUCUGAACAACAGUAUCCAUCUCACAAAAAUUUUAAAACUUGUUAAGAAAGGUCAAGUUCAAAAAUCAAAAUUCAAAAAUUAGGUCAUCAUAACUCAUAAUAAAGAAAAUUUUAGUAAUCUAUAGUAAAACCGUGAAAAAAGUGAUAUUUGUUUAUAAAACCAAAACAAUUUUUCUCAAAUUAAGAUAGUACACAACCUAUCGAAAGUUUUCUAUGUCGUUCGAAUUGUCAAAAAUUUUUGGAAACAAUGAUAUGGGUGAAUCUAUC